AAUCUUCCGCAAUGGACGAAAGUCUGACGGAGCAACGCCGCGUGAGUGAAGAAGGUUUUCCGAUCGUAAAACUCUGUUAUCAGGGAAGAACAAGUACCGUUUAACUGACGGUACCUUGACGGUACCUGACCAGAAAGCCACGGCUAACUACGUGGCAGCAGCCGCGGUACUACGUAGGUGGCAAGCGUUGUCCGGAAUUAUUGGGCGUAAAGCGCGCGCAGGCGGUCUCUUAAGUCUGAUGUGAAAUCUCGCGGCUCAACCGUGAGCGGGCAUUGGAAACUGGGGGACUUGAGUGCAGAAGAGAAGAGCGGAAUUCCACGUGUAGCGGUGAAAUGCGUAGAGAUGUGGAGGAAUACCAGUGGCGAAGGCGGCUCUUUGGUCUGUAACUGACGCUGAGGCGCGAAAGCGUGGGGAGCGAAC
This 420-nucleotide ribosomal RNA is filed under the name uncultured bacterium. RNAcentral's name for it is "partial 16S ribosomal RNA". It matches the Rfam family "Bacterial small subunit ribosomal RNA", at positions 360 to 773 of the family's 1533-position model. The record is from RNAcentral.